Long non-coding RNA from Mytilus trossulus (common blue mussel), 232 nucleotides. RefSeq lists it as uncharacterized. NCBI's taxonomy places the organism in Eukaryota, Metazoa, Mollusca, Bivalvia, Mytilida, Mytilidae. The record is from RefSeq and is a predicted model, not a curated record. The transcript has 3 exons.
CAACUGGUCAUCCUACUAUUACUACAACCAAUCAUAAUGACCUGAUGUGUGGUUAUCACGUGUGCCACGGACAUCAGUAUUGUAUCGUUGAAGAGAAAGAUUUCAACCACUUGCAUCUUAAAUGUGCUGAUGUACAUAAUACACAACACUGUCUUCCGAAUCUGUUGAGCCUUGGAUCUUCGUGCUUUUGUGACACCAGGACAUGUGUAGACCAUACUCUUAUCUCCAUUUU